This is a long non-coding RNA of Gallus gallus (chicken), 1630 nucleotides long. The record is from Ensembl. NCBI's taxonomy places the organism in Eukaryota, Metazoa, Chordata, Aves, Galliformes, Phasianidae.
GGACGUGCAAUGCUGCCAGUGCUGCCCAGGCACAGGGAUGACUCUGCUGCCCUCCUUCCUGCGGGAAGGCUGCAAGACUGCAGGAUCAGCCCUGUCUCAGGCACAACAGCAUCAGAGCAGAGAGCAUUGCAGCCCUUAGCUCCACUGUUCUGCAGAGAUGGCAUGUGGUUUCCUCUGCAAUAACAGCCUGACUUCAGCAUCUUCAGGGAUGCAGCUUUGGAGAAGAGCAGGCUGCAAAAGCAGGCUGGACCAGCAGAGCCUAUGCUGGAGCAGCUCCAUCCCUGUCUCUGCUGUGGGCUAAGAGCUGCAGCACGCCGAGCCCUGGGGCAGCUGUGAUGUCCAUUCCACCCGGGGGUUUGUGGCACGGUGCAGCAUCGCUGUGGUGGAAGAGCAGUGGAUCCUGAGGAGAGGAGCCCAGCAGGGAUGCUCAGUGCCACACGGGGCCACCAGCACAGCCGGGAGCCCAGGGGACAGUCCCGCGGUGCUUCAUUUAAUGUAUCACAGAAUCACUCAGGUUGGAGAAAACACGAAGAUCUUCUAGUCCAACCGUCAGCCCAUCACCCACGGAGGUGACAAGGAGAACACGCCAUCGCGUGGGGUUGGCGAGCUCCCGGGGAACCCCGUGCUGUAACCAGGAGGACUCCACUCACCGCUGCCUCCCGCCCCGCGCCGCUCAGCCCUUAAAGCAUCUCCCCAUCCGCAAACACAGCGGCUGAAACCCGAGCACGAAGGCGGGCGGGGGCGCGGGGUGGCUCCGGCCCUGGCGCCGCUCAUUGGCUCCGCUCCGCGUCCCGCGUUGGCCUUUGGCAGUCCGAGGGCACACAGCCCGCGUCCCCCCCUGACCGCUGCCCUAAUGACACGGCUCGCCCUCCCAAAGGGCAUGUGCAAGCUUCUCCUUGUUAUACUUUACCUAGGCUCUGUUAUCCCCGGGGCUGACGCUGGCGUGGGAGCGGGGUUGGGGUCAGCACGCUCAGCCCCAUAGAGGGAAGGCUUGCGGGACUCCUCCUCUUGCAACGGCCUCAGCUGCCUGCCCCUCUUUGAGGAACGUCAGGAAAUUUCUGGUGCCUGAGAUUAUGAGGGGUGGAGAGAGCAAAAACCAGCUUGUCAGGCACGGCUGGCCGUAUCACGGGACAGAGAGCGUCAUUGCUUGGGGACGUUGGCUCCUUCGGGGCUGGGGCUGGAGGGCAGCGGUUGGAGGAGGGCCUAUCUGCCCUGGCAGAGGGCUGAGAGCUGCAAACCGUGGCCAACACGUCUUCAGUUAGAAGAACCAGCGGGCCUUGAGCUCUGCCAGCCCUCCUGCUUGCAAAACUCAGGUUCUGAUUUAGAGGGAAGUCACAACCAAUUGAUAGUGAAACUGCACGUUGCUCUGCAAAGAACCAGAGAAGGGAGCGUGCACGCAGCGAGCGCUGCAUCCUCUUCACACCACCUGGGCAGGACACGCUCCAUCCCCACCUGAUCGACUUCUGAGGAGGCAGAACAAAGCAGAGAGACAUCUUGUCCUCCUUUGCCGACCCCUGGGGGCUCUCCAUUCUAUAGGGGAAAAGCAACAACCAGCACAGAGAAGUGCUGGGGCUGUGCAAAAGCCCAGAGCAGGCAGGAGCAGAGGGAGCAUCCAAGCACCACCACGCAG